Non-coding RNA from Parasteatoda tepidariorum (common house spider), 1011 nucleotides. NCBI's taxonomy places the organism in Eukaryota, Metazoa, Arthropoda, Arachnida, Araneae, Theridiidae. The record is from RefSeq and is a predicted model, not a curated record.
CUCACACCAGUGUCCUGCUCUGGAAGUGUCAAACUAAAAACUUUUUAUUUAUUUAUAUAUUUCUUUAGCAAUGGGACAUCCAGAAAUUUAAACAUUGUUUGCAUGCUUCAUUUUCUAUGUAAAAUGGAGGAUAUAACUCAAGAUAAAAUUAUUUAAAAACAAAAAUUUUAUGUUUCUUCUGCGAAAAAGUAAAAAAUAAAAUAUUUUGUGUAACUUAUAAGAAUCAAGUUGUUGUAGUUCCAGUAAAUUUUUAGGAUAUUAUGUUUAUUUUAUACAAAGUUUAUCCGGAAAUGUGUUUUUUGUCAGCGAAAAGUCCUUUGAAAAUUUUCAAAUUCUGGCAUAUAAGUAACAGUGGAAGAAAAUUGUUGAGAUAGAGAGAACUUUUUAUCUUGGUUCAGUCAACUGUGUUAGCUUCACAAAAGAUGCCUGUGUGUUCUUGCUAGCUGUUUAGACAAUACUUUGCGACUUACAGAUAACGAAGGGUGAAGUGCGUUCUGAAAAUGCAAGAAGAAAUGGCCCCUGCCAUUAGUGGUUACCGAUUGAAGCAAACACAAAAAAGAAAAUUCCCUGCUUGGGUUACCAACAUAGUAGCUGGGAUUGAAAGAAGGCAUCGAGAGAAGAUAGAAAUUUGUAACAACACUUUGUAUCGAAAAUAAUUGAAAAAUGAUUUAACACCUUAUUUUAAAAUCUUGCUACAGACUUCUCUUCUUUCAACAAUUUCUGUGUUUAAAUGUUUUAUUAUUUGCUACCCCAUUUUUAAUUUGGUGCUUUCCAAAAACACUUUUUCAUCAAACUUCUUAAAAAAUUUAAUACAAAUAACUAACUUAUCCAAACAUAAGAUUUCUUUCUUCUAUAUGAGUCAUUCGAUUGCAAAACUUGUUUAAAUUAUAUUGAAUUUUUCUGCUAAAUUUUAUAUGUAGAAAAAAUUACAUUUUUUAAGUAAUUUAUCCAGCUGACUACUUGAAAUUUGUAUGAAAGUUUAUAAUAAAAGUUAAAAUUUCAUUUUGACGG